Molecule: ribosomal RNA, 253 nt
Filed under: uncultured bacterium
Lineage: Bacteria
Description: partial 16S ribosomal RNA
Rfam family: Bacterial small subunit ribosomal RNA
Source: RNAcentral
UACGUAGGGUGCAAGCGUUGUCCGGAAUUAUUGGGCGUAAAGAGCUCGUAGGCGGCCUGUCGCGUCGACUGUGAAAACCCAGGGCUCAACCCUGGGCCUGCAGUCGAUACGGGCAGGCUAGAGUGCAGUAGGGGAGACUGGAAUUCCUGGUGUAGCGGUGAAAUGCGCAGAUAUCAGGAGGAACACCGGUGGCGAAGGCGGGUCUCUGGGCCGAUACUGACGCUGAGGAGCGAAAGCGUGGGGAGCGAACAGG